Molecule: long non-coding RNA, 584 nt
Filed under: Amborella trichopoda
Lineage: Eukaryota; Viridiplantae; Streptophyta; Magnoliopsida; Amborellales; Amborellaceae
Description: long non-coding RNA (ATRI_LNC003926)
Source: RNAcentral
AAGUUAGUCUAAUUAAAAAUCAAACAUAAUUUAAUCUUGUUCACUGAAAAGAAAAAAAAGAAUACGCUUCCUUGAGACAGACAGGUGAAUACUGAAGUUAUUUUCUCAUUAAAAAUAAAAAAAUCUAACCUUGUUGACUGCCAAAAAAUAAUAAUCAGAUAGAACUUCGAACUUUGAAGUGAAACACAUAUGGAGAUUGAACUUUGAAGUUAAUUGCCUAAUUAAGAAUCAAAAGGAAGCAGACAGAUUUUUCUCUAAAGAAGGGGCAUACCUGAAUCAAAUCAACGCUUAUGCAGAGAAUAAGCAACCAAUUUUCCCACAAAACGCAGAGAAUUAUCAGAGAGAAGAAUGUCAACCAUGUUCAUUCCAUGUAAAUGAUGGAGUCUUGUAUUUUGAACCUUAAAGCUGUGCUGUAAUCACAAGAAUUGUAAAAAAAAAGAAAAAAAAUAUAGCUGCAAUCCUAAGGAUAAUUUAUACCCCUAAUCCUCCCCUCGAACCACUCUAAAUAAAAUCUCUAAACUCUCUCCAUUUACAAAAGUAACAAAACUGUAACUUUUUUGAAAGUUCCUUCAAUUUAACUCUCA